GGGUUGUGAGGUUAAGCGACUAAGCGUACACGGUGGAUGCCCUGGCAGUCAGAGGCGAUGAAGGACGUGCUAAUCUGCGAUAAGCGUCGGUAAGGUGAUAUGAACCGUUAUAACCGGCGAUUUCCGAAUGGGGAAACCCAGUGUGUUUCGACACACUAUCAUUAACUGAAUCCAUAGGUUAAUGAGGCGAACCGGGGGAACUGAAACAUCUAAGUACCCCGAGGAAAAGAAAUCAACCGAGAUUCCCCCAGUAGCGGCGAGCGAACGGGGAGCAGCCCAGAGCCUGAAUCAGUGUGUGUGUUAGUGGAAGCGUCUGGAAAGGCGCGCGAUACAGGGUGACAGCCCCGUACACAAAAAUGCACAUGCUGUGAGCUCGAUGAGUAGGGCGGGACACGUGGUAUCCUGUCUGAAUAUGGGGGGACCAUCCUCCAAGGCUAAAUACUCCUGACUGACCGAUAGUGAACCAGUACCGUGAGGGAAAGGCGAAAAGAACCCCGGCGAGGGGAGUGAAAAAGAACCUGAAACCGUGUACGUACAAGCAGUGGGAGCCUCUUUAUGGGGUGACUGCGUACCUUUUGUAUAAUGGGUCAGCGACUUAUAUUCUGUAGCAAGGUUAACCGAAUAGGGGAGCCGAAGGGAAACCGAGUCUUAACUGGGCGUUAAGUUGCAGGGUAUAGACCCGAAACCCGGUGAUCUAGCCAUGGGCAGGUUGAAGGUUGGGUAACACUAACUGGAGGACCGAACCGACUAAUGUUGAAAAAUUAGCGGAUGACUUGUGGCUGGGGGUGAAAGGCCAAUCAAACCGGGAGAUAGCUGGUUCUCCCCGAAAGCUAUUUAGGUAGCGCCUCGUGAAUUCAUCUCCGGGGGUAGAGCACUGUUUCGGCAAGGGGGUCAUCCCGACUUACCAACCCGAUGCAAACUGCGAAUACCGGAGAAUGUUAUCACGGGAGACACACGGCGGGUGCUAACGUCCGUCGUGAAGAGGGAAACAACCCAGACCGCCAGCUAAGGUCCCAAAGUCAUGGUUAAGUGGGAAACGAUGUGGGAAGGCCCAGACAGCCAGGAUGUUGGCUUAGAAGCAGCCAUCAUUUAAAGAAAGCGUAAUAGCUCACUGGUCGAGUCGGCCUGCGCGGAAGAUGUAACGGGGCUAAACCAUGCACCGAAGCUGCGGCAGCGACGCUUAUGCGUUGUUGGGUAGGGGAGCGUUCUGUAAGCCUGUGAAGGUGUGCUGUGAGGCAUGCUGGAGGUAUCAGAAGUGCGAAUGCUGACAUAAGUAACGAUAAAGCGGGUGAAAAGCCCGCUCGCCGGAAGACCAAGGGUUCCUGUCCAACGUUAAUCGGGGCAGGGUGAGUCGACCCCUAAGGCGAGGCCGAAAGGCGUAGUCGAUGGGAAACAGGUUAAUAUUCCUGUACUUGGUGUUACUGCGAAGGGGGGACGGAGAAGGCUAUGUUGGCCGGGCGACGGUUGUCCCGGUUUAAGCGUGUAGGCUGGUUUUCCAGGCAAAUCCGGAAAAUCAAGGCUGAGGCGUGAUGACGAGGCACUACGGUGCUGAAGCAACAAAUGCCCUGCUUCCAGGAAAAGCCUCUAAGCAUCAGGUAACAUCAAAUCGUACCCCAAACCGACACAGGUGGUCAGGUAGAGAAUACCAAGGCGCUUGAGAGAACUCGGGUGAAGGAACUAGGCAAAAUGGUGCCGUAACUUCGGGAGAAGGCACGCUGAUAUGUAGGUGAGGUCCCUCGCGGAUGGAGCUGAAAUCAGUCGAAGAUACCAGCUGGCUGCAACUGUUUAUUAAAAACACAGCACUGUGCAAACACGAAAGUGGACGUAUACGGUGUGACGCCUGCCCGGUGCCGGAAGGUUAAUUGAUGGGGUUAGCGGUAACGCGAAGCUCUUGAUCGAAGCCCCGGUAAACGGCGGCCGUAACUAUAACGGUCCUAAGGUAGCGAAAUUCCUUGUCGGGUAAGUUCCGACCUGCACGAAUGGCGUAAUGAUGGCCAGGCUGUCUCCACCCGAGACUCAGUGAAAUUGAACUCGCUGUGAAGAUGCAGUGUACCCGCGGCAAGACGGAAAGACCCCGUGAACCUUUACUAUAGCUUGACACUGAACAUUGAGCCUUGAUGUGUAGGAUAGGUGGGAGGCUUUGAAGUGUGGACGCCAGUCUGCAUGGAGCCGACCUUGAAAUACCACCCUUUAAUGUUUGAUGUUCUAACGUUGACCCGUAAUCCGGGUUGCGGACAGUGUCUGGUGGGUAGUUUGACUGGGGCGGUCUCCUCCUAAAGAGUAACGGAGGAGCACGAAGGUUGGCUAAUCCUGGUCGGACAUCAGGAGGUUAGUGCAAUGGCAUAAGCCAGCUUGACUGCGAGCGUGACGGCGCGAGCAGGUGCGAAAGCAGGUCAUAGUGAUCCGGUGGUUCUGAAUGGAAGGGCCAUCGCUCAACGGAUAAAAGGUACUCCGGGGAUAACAGGCUGAUACCGCCCAAGAGUUCAUAUCGACGGCGGUGUUUGGCACCUCGAUGUCGGCUCAUCACAUCCUGGGGCUGAAGUAGGUCCCAAGGGUAUGGCUGUUCGCCAUUUAAAGUGGUACGCGAGCUGGGUUUAGAACGUCGUGAGACAGUUCGGUCCCUAUCUGCCGUGGGCGCUGGAGAACUGAGGGGGGCUGCUCCUAGUACGAGAGGACCGGAGUGGACGCAUCACUGGUGUUCGGGUUGUCAUGCCAAUGGCACUGCCCGGUAGCUAAAUGCGGAAGAGAUAAGUGCUGAAAGCAUCUAAGCACGAAACUUGCC
This 2782-nucleotide ribosomal RNA is filed under the name Escherichia coli. Its description in RNAcentral is "partial 23S ribosomal RNA". It matches the Rfam family "Bacterial large subunit ribosomal RNA". The record is from RNAcentral. Lineage: Bacteria; Pseudomonadati; Pseudomonadota; Gammaproteobacteria; Enterobacterales; Enterobacteriaceae.